GUGCCUGUAGCUCAAUCGGCAGAGCUCCGCCCUGUGGAGGCGGCUGUUGUGGGUUCAAGUCCCAUCAGGCACCCCU
Molecule: transfer RNA, 76 nt
Filed under: Chloroflexota bacterium
Lineage: Bacteria; Bacillati; Chloroflexota
Description: Chloroflexi bacterium tRNA-His
Rfam family: tRNA
About the family: Transfer RNA (tRNA) molecules are approximately 80 nucleotides in length. Their secondary structure includes four short double-helical elements and three loops (D, anti-codon, and T loops).
Source: RNAcentral